RNAcentral lists this long non-coding RNA (363 nucleotides) under Cyanistes caeruleus (blue tit). RNAcentral describes it as "lncRNA (ENSCCEG00000015493.1)". The record is from RNAcentral. Lineage: Eukaryota; Metazoa; Chordata; Aves; Passeriformes; Paridae.
AUGCAGCUAACUUUGAUGUCAUGUAGUCAAACUGAUCGGGAUUAUUGUAAUGCUGAUCCACUUCUCCCGUCUUUCUUUGGAAGUGUAUGCAAGCCCAGUUCUUUCAGUCCUUUCCUGGCUAAUCCAGCAAGCUGUUAUGUGGCUUCCCCUGACUACCUCAGAUGUGGUUUCUGUGUGUGUGAUUUCUGUGCCCAUCUGUGUUACCAUAAAUAUAAACACCAUUCAAGACUCUUUCAUAAAUAUCACAAACAAUUUCCCAGGUCUACUGUUUCCAGCCUUUGCCACUCUUGCUCAAGGGAGUUAGAAACACAGAUUAAACCUGAUGAAGACUGGUUCCCCAACUCUCAUUCUUCAGAGCUUUAG